GAUGAACGCUGGCGGCGUGCCUAAUACAUGCAAGUCGAGCGAACGGACGAGAAGCUUGCUUCUCUGAUGUUAGCGGCGGACGGGCGAGUAACACGUGGAUAACCUACCUAUAAGACUGGGAUAACUUCGGAAAACCGGAGCUAAUACCGGAUGAUAUUGUGAACCGAAUGGUUCAAAAGUGAAAGACGGGCUUGCUGUCACUGAUAGAUGGAUCCGCGCUGGAUUAGCUAGUUGGUAAGGUAACGGCUUACCAAGGCAACGAUGCAUAGCCGACCUGAGAGGGUGAUCAGCCACACUGGAACUGAGACACGGUCCAGACCCCUACGGGAGGCAGCAGUAGGGAAUCUUCCUCAAUGGGCGAAAGCCUGACGGAGCAACGCCGCGUGAGUGAUGAAGGUCUUCGGAUCGUAAAACGCUGUUAGUAGGGAAGAACAUAUGUGUAAGUAACUGUGCAGAUCUUGACGGUACCUAAUGAGAAAGCCACGGCUAACUACGUG
Molecule: ribosomal RNA, 497 nt
Filed under: uncultured bacterium
Lineage: Bacteria
Description: partial 16S ribosomal RNA
Rfam family: Bacterial small subunit ribosomal RNA
Source: RNAcentral